UACGUAGGUGACAAGCGUUGUCCGGAAUUAUUGGGCGUAAAGGGAGCGCAGGCGGUUGGAAUAGUCUGAUGUGAAAGCCCACGGCUUAACCGUGGAAUUGCAUUGGAAACUGUCCAACUUGAAUGCAGAAGAGGAAAGCGGAAUUCCAUGUGUAGCGGUGAAAUGCGUAGAUAUAUGGAGGAACACCAGUGGCGAAGGCGGCUUUCUGGUCUGUGAUUGACGCUGAGGCUCGAAAGCGUGGGGAGCGAACA
RNAcentral lists this ribosomal RNA (251 nucleotides) under uncultured bacterium. RNAcentral describes it as "partial 16S ribosomal RNA". It matches the Rfam family "Bacterial small subunit ribosomal RNA", at positions 524 to 774 of the family's 1533-position model. The record is from RNAcentral.